AGCACCUUUAAAUCAGUCCCGUGAGACUGGCAAGGUAACGUGAACCGAGGUUCAUGACAUGGAAGCACAUUUUCGUCUGCGGAUGGAACUUUGCUGCUUUCAUAGCAUCUCUUUGUGUAUAUGAGAUCAACUCCUUGCCUGCGCGGCAAGGAGUUUUUUUGU
This is a regulatory RNA element of Paenibacillus uliginis N3/975, 162 nucleotides long. It matches the Rfam family "PyrR binding site". From Rfam's summary of the family: This family represents the PyrR binding site and terminator structure. This RNA structure is found upstream of a variety of genes involved in pyrimidine biosynthesis and transport. NCBI's taxonomy places the organism in Bacteria, Bacillati, Bacillota, Bacilli, Caryophanales, Paenibacillaceae. The record is from Rfam.